CUAAUGAUGGGCGGUGUGUGAAGCACGUACAACAGAAUCUGGUGUGUAGUAAAAAGAGUGGAUGGGCUCUGCCUCAUGAUGUACAGUCCCUUUCCACAGCGUUGGAGAUGAAGCCAGGCCUUGAGUCUGCGCCUGCAUAUUCCUACAGCUUCUCAGAGUCCUGUGAACAAUGACUGAGGUGAUAAACCAUGCAUUGAGACAUCU
Molecule: small nucleolar RNA, 204 nt
Filed under: Physeter macrocephalus (sperm whale)
Lineage: Eukaryota; Metazoa; Chordata; Mammalia; Artiodactyla; Physeteridae
Description: Physeter catodon (sperm whale) Small nucleolar RNA SNORA73 family (ENSPCTG00005021697.1)
Rfam family: Small nucleolar RNA SNORA73 family
About the family: U17 (SNORA73A and SNORA73B) also known as E1 belongs to the H/ACA class of small nucleolar RNAs (snoRNAs).
Source: Rfam by way of RNAcentral